CCUACGGGUGGCAGCAGUCGAGAAUCAUUCACAAUGGGGGAAACCCUGAUGGUGCGACGCCGCGUGGGGGAAUGAAGGUCUUCGGAUUGUAAACCCCUGUCAUGUGGGAGAAAAUUAAAAAGAUAGUACCACAAGAGGAAGCGACGGCUAACUCUGUGCCAGCAGCCGCGGUAAUACAGAGGUCUCAAGCGUUGUUCGGAAUCACUGUGCGUAAAGCGUGCGUAGGCUGUUUCGUAAGUCGUGUGUGAAAGGCCCGGGCUCAACCCGCGGACGGCACAUGAUACUGCGAGACUAGAGUAAUGGAGGGGGAACCGGAAUUCUCGGUGUAGCAGUGAAAUGCGUAGAUAUCGAGAGGAACACUCGUGGCGAAGGCGGGUUCCUGGACAUUAACUGACGCUGAGGCACGAAGGCCAGGGGAGCGAAAGGGAUUAGAUACCCCUGUAGUC
This 446-nucleotide ribosomal RNA is filed under the name uncultured bacterium. Its description in RNAcentral is "partial 16S ribosomal RNA". It matches the Rfam family "Bacterial small subunit ribosomal RNA", at positions 338 to 795 of the family's 1533-position model. The record is from RNAcentral.